GCUCAGAGUGAACGCUGGCGGUAGGCCUAACACAUGCAAGUCGAACGGCAGCACAGUAAGAGCUUGCUCUUAUGGGUGGCGAGUGGCGGACGGGUGAGGAAUACAUCGGAAUCUACCUUUUCGUGGGGGAUAACGUAGGGAAACUUACGCUAAUACCGCAUACGACCUUCGGGUGAAAGCAGGGGACCUUCGGGCCUUGCGCGGAUAGAUGAGCCGAUGUCGGAUUAGCUAGUUGGCGGGGUAAAGGCCCACCAAGGCGACGAUCCGUAGCUGGUCUGAGAGGAUGAUCAGCCACACUGGAACUGAGACACGGUCCAGACUCCUACGGGAGGCAGCAGUGGGGAAUAUUGGACAAUGGGCGCAAGCCUGAUCCAGCCAUACCGCGUGGGUGAAGAAGGCCUUCGGGUUGUAAAGCCCUUUUGUUGGGAAAGAAAAGCAAUCGGCUAAUACCCGGUUGUUCUGACGGUACCCAAAGAAUAAGCACCGGCUAACUUCGUGCCAGCAGCCGCGGUAAUACGAAGGGUGCAAGCGUUACUCGGAAUUACUGGGCGUAAAGCGUGCGUAGGUGGUUGUUUAAGUCUGUUGUGAAAGCCCUGGGCUCAACCUGGGAAUUGCAGUGGAUACUGGGCGACUAGAAGUGUGGUAGAAGGGUUAGUGGAAAUUCCCCCGGUGUAGCCAGUGAAAAUGCGUAGAAGAUUCGGGAGGAACCAUCCAUGGCGAAGGCAGCUACCUGGACCAA
RNAcentral lists this ribosomal RNA (739 nucleotides) under Stenotrophomonas sp. 110609_136_C_B1. RNAcentral describes it as "bacterial SSU rRNA". It matches the Rfam family "Bacterial small subunit ribosomal RNA", at positions 22 to 737 of the family's 1533-position model. The record is from RNAcentral. Lineage: Bacteria; Pseudomonadati; Pseudomonadota; Gammaproteobacteria; Lysobacterales; Lysobacteraceae.